UGUCAUUUCCAUGCAAACAAGUCAAAACGCAAAGAACUUCGUCAAGAACUCGACUCAACAUUUCUACCUCGCGUUCUCUCCCAAAAAAAAACUAAACGAAGAAACAAGAGCAAUAAACGAAUCCCUACUUCAGGUUUAUCACCACAUCGUGAUAAUUAUCCAUCAUUCAACAAACCGAAAUUCAUUGCAAUAUCGAAUUCAAGAGCUUGUUCUUGCAUGCAGAUAAAAGGGAUCAAAAAGGAGAAAAGAAACCUACCAGAUUGAAGCUCUGAUGCGGUGGCUCAGGUGGAUUAAUGGCUCUGAGUUAUGGAAAUUUGUAGGGGAAUUAAUUAUGGGUUGUCAAAUGUAAGUCAAAUGUAUUGGUUUUCUAUCAUGAAAUUUGUAGAUUGAAUUGUUUUUGGAGUUAGAAAAUAUGCAGGUGAAUCAUUGUUUCACUCUGUUAUGAAACUUUGCAGCAAAUCACUUAUUCAACUUUGUUAAUGCCAUUGCAAGUGGAAAUGAAUUUUGUAGGGAAGUUAAUGUGAGUUGUUAGGCAAAAAGAAAGUGAAUGAAUUGGUCUGUUGAAAAAUAUGCAGGUGAUUUACAUUGUGAGUUUAUGAAAAAUUGUAGUGAAAUAUAUUGUUCUGUUGAAAAUGUUCAUGCAGGGCUUUAUAUCAUUUUGUGCUGAUGUUAGAAAGGUUUAUGCAAGGAUUUGUUUUUCUGUUGUUCUAUUGUGUAAUUGCAAGUGAAUUAUGUAGGUGAAUAUGAGUUAUUAUCAUGCCUAUUGAUGGAUCUACUUGGACAAUGUUAUUAUUGGUCUGUCAAAAGGGAUGCGUGGAACUGAUUUGGGAUUGGGAUUGGGCUAAUAGAAAUUUUGAAUUUGUGUAUUAAAUAUGUAGUGAAAUUGGAAUGUGUAAUUGGAUUAUGUAUGGAAAAGUCUGAAAUUGAUUUGUAUGAAUUGGAUUGUAUGGAAAGUGAUUAAAUGCCAUGGAAUAUUUGACUUAGAAAUUGAAUUGGAUGUUAUGUGUAUGUA
Lathyrus oleraceus (garden pea) is the source of this 1012-nucleotide long non-coding RNA. RefSeq lists it as uncharacterized. Lineage: Eukaryota; Viridiplantae; Streptophyta; Magnoliopsida; Fabales; Fabaceae. The transcript is spliced from 2 exons. The record is from RefSeq and is a predicted model, not a curated record.